AGAGUUUGAUCAUGGCUCAGGACGAACGCUGGCGGCGUGCCUAACACAUGCAAGUCGUACGGGCUUGAGGGGCAACUCUCGAGUCAGUGGCGAACGGGUGCGUAACACGUGAGCAACUUGCCCUAUGGUGGGGGAUAGCCGGCCCAACGGCCGGGUAAUACCGCAUAUGGCGCUGAGGUCACAUGGCCUUGGUGGGAAAGCGGCCGCAAGGUCGCGCCAAAGGUGGGGCUCGCGGCGUAUCAGCUAGUUGGCGGGGUAACGGCCCACCAAGGCUACGACGCGUAGCUGGUCUGAGAGGAUGGCCAGCCACAUUGGGACUGAGAUACGGCCCAGACUCCUACGGGAGGCAGCAGUGGGGAAUAUUGCGCAAUGGCCGAAAGGCUGACGCAGCGACGCCGCGUGUGGGAUGAAGGCCUUCGGGUUGUAAACCACUGUCGGGGGGGGCGAAUACUCGGCUUCGAACAGGAGACCGAGGGUGACGGUACCCCCAAAGGAAGCACCGGCUAACUCCGUGCCAGCAGCCGCGGUAAUACGGAGGGUGCGAGCGUUGUCCGGAAUCACUGGGCGUAAAGGGCGCGUAGGCGGCCGUGUAAGUCACUUGUGAAAUCCCGGGGCUCAACUCCGGGGCUGCAGGUGAGACUGCAUGGCUAGAGCUCGGUAGAGGCAAGUGGAAUUCCCGGUGUAGCGGUGGAAUGCGUAGAUAUCGGGAAGAACACCGGUGGCGAAGGCGGCUUGCUGGGCCGUAGCUGACGCUGAGGCGCGAAAGCGUGGGGAGCAAACAGGAUUAGAUACCCUGGUAGUCCACGCCGUAAACGAUGGGUACUAGGCGUCGGGGGGAGCGACCCCCUCGGUGCCGUCGCUAACGCAGUAAGUACCCCGCCU
This 882-nucleotide ribosomal RNA is filed under the name uncultured bacterium. Its description in RNAcentral is "bacterial SSU rRNA". It matches the Rfam family "Bacterial small subunit ribosomal RNA", at positions 9 to 873 of the family's 1533-position model. The record is from RNAcentral.